CCUUUCUCCUUCUACUGGAUAAAGGACUUUAUGGUCCUUAAUUUGCUCACUCUUACCAACUGGCAAGAAAGAUGGAUUCAGAUAUAAGCAAAGUAUGUGCUUCAAUGGCUGACCUGCUAUCUUCCAGCUCUUGGUCUCUACUUAUGCUCUUUCUGAAGUUCAGUUGCAGGAUGAAGAAGCCACAUCAAUUUUCUGAAGUGUCCAUGAUCAGAACAGAUGAAAUCAGGAUGAGACUUUGCAGUGAGUCACAGCUUAAAUUGUCUCAUUCUGUUCCUCAAAGCACUCCUCCUAGCAGAAGUGCCUCCCUCAGGACCUCAUCUUGGACUUCUGCUAACAGUAUUUGUGCUAAGAACCAUCAUCUCAAACUUCUUCCUUUCUCAGACAUUCCCUCAGUAAUCAUCAUAGCUGUGUGCUCCCUCAAACUUGUCUCCAUGAAACUGCAGACAAAUAUAGGACAGAGAAGAUUAAGAUUUUGUUUAAAGUACAGAGGAAGCUGAGAUUUAAAAAAAAAUUAGCGUAUGGAAAAACAUGAGGAUGCUAAGUGAAAGAGUAGUCUUUAAUUACACAGCCAUGCCCACUUGAUAAUUCUCUUUUGAAGUAUGACUGGAAAAAAGAAGAUUCUUCAAGCAAAUUCAGAAAAGCAGCUUGAAAUAGCAGAGCUGCUGGGGAAUAGGAAGCAGGCAACUGGUUGUUUGCUUUAGGAAAGAAUAGACCAGAAUGAAAGACAAUCAAGAUGGAUACUGAGAACAGCAAACUGAAAACACAUUGUACCUCCUCUCCUCCAGGGAUUAACUGCCCUUGGCUGAUAAGGAAAAAGAAGCCUGUAAAUGCUUUAGGCCUAAAUGUACACAGCAUUCUCUACACUUUGGGAGCACUGAGCAAUCAAUGAAAUCUGCUAAAUGCAGCUGUUGUCCAUAUUUAGCAUACGUAAGGGGGUAAUUCAUACAAGUAGAGUUAUGGUUUCCACAGUGCUUAAUGAAUGAAUGAACUGCUAGUAAUGGGAUGUUUCAGUCUAAAAAAACCCCAAAUAUAUUUUGCAAUAUGCAACUCUGCUGUUAAUAGGAACCAGAUCAUCUUCAUGGGGAAAAGAUUGUGUUUACUACCUUUUCCAACAUUUCUUUCCUACAAUGAUGCUUUUGUAAUUUUCCAUUUAGGUCAGUGCAACACUUCUGGGUAAUCAAGAGAGGUGUUGAGGAGGAAAUUUUAGCACAGACAUUUGGGGGAAAUAAAUUUUAAUUUCACACGAUUUUAAUUGCA
Molecule: long non-coding RNA, 1257 nt
Filed under: Cyanistes caeruleus (blue tit)
Lineage: Eukaryota; Metazoa; Chordata; Aves; Passeriformes; Paridae
Description: lncRNA (ENSCCEG00000004932.1)
Source: RNAcentral